ACGUAGGGGGCAAGCGUUGUUCGGAAUUACUGGGCGUAAAGGGCAUGUAGGCGGUUUAGUAAGCUUGGCGUGAAAGACCACAGCUCAACUGUGGGGUUGCGUUGAGAACUGCUGAACUUGAGUUACGGAGAGGGAGCUAGAAUUCCUGGUGUAGGGGGGGAAUGUGUAGAGAUCAGGAAGAGGUGCGAUGGUGUAGGGAUAAAACAGGACGAUAACUGUGGCUAAGGUGCGUAAGUGUCUGGAUGAAGCAG
RNAcentral lists this ribosomal RNA (251 nucleotides) under uncultured prokaryote. RNAcentral's name for it is "partial 16S rRNA". It matches the Rfam family "Bacterial small subunit ribosomal RNA", at positions 525 to 775 of the family's 1533-position model. The record is from RNAcentral.